Thunnus maccoyii (southern bluefin tuna) is the source of this 202-nucleotide long non-coding RNA. RefSeq lists it as uncharacterized. The transcript is spliced from 2 exons. NCBI's taxonomy places the organism in Eukaryota, Metazoa, Chordata, Actinopteri, Scombriformes, Scombridae. The record is from RefSeq and is a predicted model, not a curated record.
GGAGGGUUUUGAAAGUAAGGAAGGAAUUUUGAUACUUUCUGUUAUUAACUGCUGUUUUCCGUAGGAGGAAACAACCAACCAAACAGCCACUUUUCAAGGCAACGGGAGGCUUGAUUUCAUGAGACACUGUAAUUCACGUCACAAGACAGAAAUAUCUACUAAAGGUCAAGACGUCGUGGUACUAACAGGCUCUGAGUUGGAG